CAGUCGCCGCGGGAAUACAGAGGGUGCGAGCGUUAAUCGGAUUUACUGGGCGUAAAGCGUGCGUAGGCGGCUUCUUAAGUCGGAUGUGAAAUCCCUGAGCUUAACUUAGGAAUUGCAUUCGAUACUGGGAAGCUAGAGUAUGGGAGAGGAUGGUAGAAUUCCAGGUGUAGCGGUGAAAUGCGUAGAGAUCUGGAGAAAUACCGAUGGCGAAGGCAGCCAUCUGGCCUAAUACUGACGCUGAGGUACGAAAGCAUGGGGAGCAAACAGGAUUAGAUACCCCUGUAGUCCCUGUCUCUUAUAC
Molecule: ribosomal RNA, 301 nt
Filed under: uncultured bacterium
Lineage: Bacteria
Description: partial 16S ribosomal RNA
Rfam family: Bacterial small subunit ribosomal RNA
Source: RNAcentral